ACCGAGAGUUUAAAAAUAAUAAUCCGAGAAUAUUAAUAUUGUAAUAUGGAUAAGUACGAAACUGAUAACACACCCAUAAGAUCUGGGGUCACGAGUCUAGAGCCUCUAAACAGACUGAAUAAUCAUAAUAAAAUCUGAAUACUAAAACCAAAAUCUGGGAAAGUAUAUAAUAAUAAUGAAAUGAAGAAAUAAUGAAGAGCAGCCAGGUCCUGCGAACAUCAUGCAGCUACUUCAACGACUCUGAAAAUAGCUCAGGAGACUAGGAGAAUCAGCUAAGCCUCCGGUGUACCUAAAUCUGCACACAAGAUGCAGGGAGUAGGGGUGAGUACUACCGACUCAGUGAAUAAUAAGUAUAGAAAAUGAUUGAAAGUAAGAAAUCCACAAAGUAUCACAACGCAAAGCUAUAACUAACAAUCCUAUAACUUAGCUACAGGCCAACAGCACAACAGUAUCACAACAACAACCAAGUAUCAGAUAAAGAUGCAAUGCAAUGCACAUGAAUUCGCCGCGGAACGUGCAGCCCGAUCCAUUUAACGUCGAAGGCGCUCACUGGGGGUGUGUACACACUCCGGAGGGGCUCCUUCUCCCCAAGCGCAAUAUUAAUAUAUAUAUAUAUAUAUAUAUAUAUAUAUAUCCGCUGCGGAUCGUGCAACCCGACCCAAGAUCAGUCCACAAUAUGCAUAUGAGCCACAUAAACAGAUUCAACUAAAAUUCCCGUUUUUUCCAAUUAUUACGGUGAAUAUAAUUUAAUUAAUCAAUUUCAAAAAAUAAGGUGACUUAGCAUUUCACUUCGGUGAUUAAACAGAGGACUGAGAUCAAUGAUUAUGCAAUCAUCUUAUCACACAGAUAUUCACCCUAGACGAGUACUACAGAUCGGCACGAGGCCCCAAACAUGGCAUUAAGCCCAAUUAUAAAUAACACAAUGUGCGUAUCAGAUUUCAAUAAUUUACUCAGCUCACGAGAUGGACCAUGUCACAAUACCCAAUCAUUUACAACCCCGCACCUGCCAUGGGUGCGAAUCACGCCCUAACAUAGCGGCACGAUGUGAUAAGCCGGGGUUUCAACCCUCAGGCCAUCACCUAUACAAACUACUCACCUUUAACUGGUCGUAGCCUGGUCUGCAAUUCCCUUUCCCUUCAAAUCCUCUCCAACGAGCGUCGAAUCUAUUCAAAACCACAACGAAUAGGUUAUUAUAGGCUAUAUAAGCAUAACCCAAUUGAACUUAUUCGAAAAAUAUUAAAAAUCGCAAAGUUGGUAAAACCCGAUUCCCGGGCUCACUUCUCGAAAAAUUCAGAAAGUUUUAUCUUUGGAUUCCUCGUCUCGCCACGAGUCCGUACAUAUAAGGUUUAUCAAAAAUGAAGUUCGUUUACCCUCUCAAAUCACCAUUUUACUCUCUCUUAGGCUUCAAGCCCUAACCACCAUUUUUGACCUUAAAACCCUUGAAUUUCAUUGUUUAAUCUACUAUUUCACACCAUAUAGACAUAAUCCGAGGCCAAGAAUCAUUACCAGAAAGAAACCCUUGAAACCCUCUUCAAAAUCGCCUACAAUCGUCUCUUCCCGAAGUCCAAAAUUGUUUUUUUAACUUAUGAAAUUGUAAACACUAUUUUAUUAAUCCCCCAGCAAUUUCCGCUUCAGCGAUACAAUGAUCGCUUCCGCAGUCAAUAGACCGCUUUUGCGGUCUCCCUUGAUUCGACUGGGACCGCUUCUGCGGUCCUUAACCUCUUCCGCGGUCUCCGCCUACGCGGUCGACUUGGCAGCUUCUGCGGUCGCCUAGAUGGACCAAGACCGCUUUUGCGGUGGCCGCUUUUGCGGUAAUUCUUCCGCUUUCGUGGAAAUACCAAUAGCUUGUGCAACAGACCUGUUGCAUCGUCAAAAAUCUUCGUUUUCAUCAUUCGAUUUCACCCCGAGGCCCUUGGGACCCCAACCAAAUGCAUAAGUAUGUCCCAUUACUUCAUUCAAACUUUCUCACAACAUAAAAACGCUAUCAUAAACAUCAAAAUCAUCCAAUUUCCACUGAUUCAUGACUAAGUUAAACUAAAACUUUUGAAACUUGCAUUUGCUCCAAAACCCGACCUAAACACCUCCGAAUGAUCUGAAUUUGUACAUAUAUCAAAAAUUACCUAGUGGAGUUACCGCAACUAUCGGAAAUUCAUUCGACUCCCAGAUCAAAAUAUCACCUAUCAACCGAACUUCGCCAAAUUUCUAACUUAGCCCAUUCAAGCCUAAUUCUACACAGGACCUCCAAAUUCAGUUCUGAUUUCACUCCUAAGUCACAAAUCAUCAUCCGAAACUAGUCGAAUCGUCGGAAAUCCAUUCCGAACCCUCUAACUCAUAAGAAAACAUUCGGUUGACUUUUCCAAACUAACUUUCUCUUAAAGAGACUAAUUGUCUCAUUUCUAUCCAAACUCCAUCCGAAUUACUCCAACUCUCCAAUACAUAUAUUGAAACAUAUAAUAGCAUAAAAAAGGAAAAACAGGGUGGAAAUACACGGUACGACGGGUCAGGUCAUUACAACAAAGGAACAAGAUAACAUGUGAACAUUAUCACUAAACAUGAUCUCUAAACAUAAUCACUAACUGAGCAUGCUUAGAGAAAAAUCAAGCCCGAGGAAAACAAAAAGAAAUUGUGAUUUUAUAUGAAAGAGCUUCCAAAACACAACAGGAAGAAAUGAAAUCAAAAGCUGAAGUCCUACAACCCUCUUCUUGACGAUCUCAUAAAAAACUAGAUGGAUCAACUAAACUAACAAAAAUCUCAGCACAUUAGAGUUUCAACAUUCAUCUGAUGCUCAAACUGCUCAGUUCAAAACAGAACAAUCAAGGCAGACACGAUGAGAAAUCCUAAAAAACAGUUGGAACAACUAGAAGUAAAUUUUAGAACAAGGAUGCUAAUCGACUACUUGUGAACGAUUCGAAGUGCACGUAAGCUUCCGAUAUGUAUAAGAGUCUAGAAAGCACAAUCACCUGACCAAACAAUACUGAAUGAGAAGCAAACAUGAUGAGGCAGAUGAACACACAUAGUCAUAUUGUUCCAAUGGAUUUUGAGAUUAGAGGACCAGACGAACAUUCCUUAGCACAUAUAUAAAAUCAUAGAAGAGGCUAAUACAACCAGAACAGAACAACAAAACGAAGCCAAGAUCACCACAUAAAUCUCAGCUAUCACUUUAAACUUCAGCAUGUUUUAUAGUUCAUUCAGGUAUCGAUUUACAAUAGGAAUUAAAGGAAAGAAAAGAAAUGAAAUUGGAUUUAAGAAAUUGAGUUAAUACAUUGACCAAAAGGAAGCAAAUAACAGCUCAAAAUCAACCCUCGAGCAGCAACAACCUCGAAUUUCUCAAAUGUCUCCCAUUUUUAAACCACAAUCCAGAAUUGAAAUGAAAAAGACGAACUCUAUAGGUUUCGAAAAAAACUUUAAACACUAAUCGACAUGAAAUAACAUAAGCACCCUCAGUGAUUUUUUUGUCGUUCUAUUAUAAGAAAUCAAAGAACCAGUAAGACUGAAGAAGAAAUAGAAAACAUCGUUCAAAAUCUUUUCCGGAAAAUCUCUCCCAAAUUCUCUUUGAAAAUAACUAUCUGAAAAUCCUCUCUAUCUCUAAAAAUCCCCCUCUCAAAAACUGAUCCCAGUCCUUUAUGAAAUGAACCCCUGAUGAAUGUGGGCCUCAGUUUGAACGAAAUCAAUCCAAUGCCUCACAUUCAUCCAACGAAUCAUCUCUAGGACCUUCUAAUCGCGUGAGAUGGUUUAAAAUCGGGCGAGUGAGAAUCUUUGGUGUCAGAGACCGUUAAAAAUAACGAGAUGAGAGAAGGGGGAAAGCGUGGGUGUGGGUUUGGAUUCACUCGCUCGAAUUUGGGCAAUCUUUAGGUGUGGAUUCAGUGGAUUUGGAGAAGAACACCGGCUGCGUCUUGGGAGAUUAGGAUUUAGGCAGCCCGUUCAUUUCAUGUUUGUCAAUUGAGAACGGGUUGGGUUGGGGCUAGUUGGGGCGUGGAUUAGGCGGAU
RNAcentral lists this long non-coding RNA (3987 nucleotides) under Nicotiana benthamiana. Its description in RNAcentral is "long non-coding RNA (NBEN_LNC033736)". The record is from RNAcentral. Lineage: Eukaryota; Viridiplantae; Streptophyta; Magnoliopsida; Solanales; Solanaceae.